GGUGGCUCAGUGGUAGAGCAUUUGCCUUGUAUGCAUGAGGCCUUGGGUUCAAUUCCCCAACACCA
This 65-nucleotide transfer RNA is filed under the name Dipodomys ordii (Ord's kangaroo rat). It matches the Rfam family "tRNA". From Rfam's summary of the family: Transfer RNA (tRNA) molecules are approximately 80 nucleotides in length. Their secondary structure includes four short double-helical elements and three loops (D, anti-codon, and T loops). Further hydrogen bonds mediate the characteristic L-shaped molecular structure. tRNAs have two regions of fundamental functional importance: the anti-codon, which is responsible for specific mRNA codon recognition, and the 3' end, to which the tRNAs corresponding amino acid is attached (by aminoacyl-tRNA synthetases). tRNAs cope with the degeneracy of the genetic code in two manners: having more than one tRNA (with a specific anti-codon) for a particular amino acid; and 'wobble' base-pairing, i.e. permitting non-standard base-pairing at the 3rd anti-codon position. Lineage: Eukaryota; Metazoa; Chordata; Mammalia; Rodentia; Heteromyidae. The record is from Rfam by way of RNAcentral.